AAGAAGAUCGUCAAUGAAGGACUCUUA
This 27-nucleotide small nuclear RNA is filed under the name Arabidopsis thaliana (thale cress). Its description in RNAcentral is "snRNA_12476". Lineage: Eukaryota; Viridiplantae; Streptophyta; Magnoliopsida; Brassicales; Brassicaceae. The record is from RNAcentral.